Molecule: long non-coding RNA, 516 nt
Filed under: Nicotiana benthamiana
Lineage: Eukaryota; Viridiplantae; Streptophyta; Magnoliopsida; Solanales; Solanaceae
Description: long non-coding RNA (NBEN_LNC017130)
Source: RNAcentral
AGAAAUCAAAUCGAAAAACUAUUGGUCAAAUCCGUCAAUGGAUUGAUCAUGGUGUCUUCCACCAUGUUGCACAAGAAACAGACGCGUAUACCCUCUGGAAGAAGUUGGAAGACAUGUACCAGGCCAAGACCGUUGGAAUAAGGCCCUAUUGAUGAGGCGCUUAGUUAACAGGAAGCUAAAAAUGAAACUUCAGUUGCCGAGCAUACCAGUGAGUUCCAAAACCUGGUCAACCAGUUGUCGUCUGUAGAGAUGCCACUUAGCGGAAGCUAAAAAUGAAACUUCAGUUGCCGAGCAUACCAGUGAGUUCCAAAACCUGGUCAACCAGUUGUAGUCUGUAGAGAUGCCACUUAGCGAUGAAGUUCGGGCGCUGUUACUUCUCAGUUCCCUUCCCGAUAGUUGGGAACGCUGGUCGUAUCACUCAGUAACUCAGCCCCUAAUGGCAAACUUACCAUGUUAAUGGUCAAGGAUGCCCUAUUCAGUGAAGAGGCAAGGAGAAAGGAGAUAGGCACAGAUCAG